UCCCGGAUGUAGCGGCGGACGGGUGAGUAACACGUGGGUAACCUGCCUGUAAGACUGGGAUAACUCCGGGAAACCGGAGCUAAUACCGGAUAGUUCCUUGAACCGCAUGGUUCAAGGAUGAAAGACGGUUUCGGCUGUCACUUACAGAUGGACCCGCGGCGCAUUAGCUAGUUGGUGAGGUAACGGCUCACCAAGGCGACGAUGCGUAGCCGACCUGAGAGGGUGAUCGGCCACACUGGGACUGAGACACGGCCCAGACUCCUACGGGAGGCAGC
RNAcentral lists this ribosomal RNA (275 nucleotides) under Bacillus sp. PR1.1. RNAcentral describes it as "partial 16S ribosomal RNA". It matches the Rfam family "Bacterial small subunit ribosomal RNA", at positions 84 to 352 of the family's 1533-position model. Lineage: Bacteria; Bacillati; Bacillota; Bacilli; Caryophanales; Bacillaceae. The record is from RNAcentral.